GCUCCGAAAUUUCCCCAUUCUCGUUCGGCCCCCUCGUCUCCAGUCGAUUGUGGCCGGCGGCGCAGCGGCAGCCAGGCCCCGGCGACCAACCCAAUCCCAAGCUGCCAUAUCCGCCGCUCCUCCUCAGCCUCCCCUUCCUCCUGGUGAUUGGGUUGGGCAUCCCACAUACGAGGGCAGGGGAGGCCCGACACGUGCGGUCGAGAAAGGGCGGCGCAACGGUGGCGGAGGCCAAUACUGGUGAACACGGCCCGCGAGAGAAGCUCGCGUUCGGGGAGCAAGAGCUGGUGGUGCUUCUUCCGUUCAGCCACAGAAGUGCUCCUGCUUACCGUGAAGAUCUGAGACGGGUGGCCGGGCUAGGAGGUGUCCGCGAGAGAGCGUCGGCGGCGUGGUGCUGCGUCCGAACCGUAGCGCCCUUCUGUCGAUUUCUUUGCUGGUGAGUGAUUUGAUCUUGGGCGCUUCCCCGCCGUUGUUGCUUCCGUGUUUUACCUCGACGAGCGUUUGAUUUAGUGGCGGAGGCACAGCCCGGCUAGCCUGGGCAGCCCGGGCUCCGCCGACAAAUACUCUGUCGAUUGUACAGUCGCAUGACGGCAUGAGUGUUCUACCUCCAGUUUUAUUGACAUUUUAACUCGCAGCAGUCUCAGCUCGCCAGUGUUGCCCAGGCCAAGGUUGAGCUGGGAUCAACCACUAAUUUGAUUUAUCUCCCAUUUGGUCACGGUGGUGCUUGUUAGUAAGAGAAGAAACCAGGCUCACAAAUGUUUCCAUACCUCAGCCGGAUGUAUAUUUUUCAUCAAGAAAUGUGAUUUGUAAUCAUGCGCUGUAUUUUUAUGCUUGGAAAUUUGCUUAUGGAUGAAAAAAACCGAUAAAUUCAUGAAUAUGUAUGUAAUUUUCUAUACACAGGAUGUAUGUAUUUUAUACCUAAAGUUUUUGGUCA
Long non-coding RNA from Lolium rigidum, 931 nucleotides. RefSeq lists it as uncharacterized. The record is from RefSeq and is a predicted model, not a curated record. Lineage: Eukaryota; Viridiplantae; Streptophyta; Magnoliopsida; Poales; Poaceae. The transcript is spliced from 2 exons.